GUUAUAUGGUCAAGCGAAUAAGCGCACACGGUGGAUGCCUUGGCGGUCAGAGGCGAUGAAGGACGUGGCAGCCUGCGAAAAGUAUCGGGGAGCUGGCAACAAGCUUUGAUCCGGUAAUGUCCGAAUGGGGAAACCCACCCGCUUGCGGGUAUCCUGCAGUGAAUACAUAGCUGCUGGAAGCGAACCUGGUGAACUGAAAUAUCUAAGUAACCAGAGGAAAAGAAAUCAACCGAGAUUCCGUAAGUAGCGACGAGCGAACGCGGACUAGCCCUUAAGCUGAUUUGGUUCUAGGAAAACGCUCUGGAAAGAGCGGCCAUAGAAGGUGAUAGCCCUGUAUCUGAAAGGGCCAUUUCAGUGAAGACGAGUAGGGCGGGGCACGUGAAACCCUGUCUGAACAUGGGGGGACCAUCCUCCAAGGCUAAAUACUACUGACCGACCGAUAGUGAACCAGUACCGUGAGGGAAAGGCGAAAAGAACCCCGGAGAGGGGAGUGAAAUAGAACCUGAAACCGUGUGCGUACAAGCAGUAGGAGCUCCGCAAGGAGUGACUGCGUACCUUUUGUAUAAUGGGUCAGCGACUUACUGUUCGUGGCAAGCUUAACCGUAUAGGGGAGGCGAAGGGAAACCGAGUCUGAUAAGGGCGCAUAGUCGCGGGCAGUAGACCCGAAACCGGGUGAUCUAGUCAUGCCCAGGGUGAAGGUGCGGUAACACGCACUGGAGGCCCGAACCCACUCCCGUUGCAAAGGUAGGGGAUGAGGUGUGAUUAGGAGUGAAAAGCUAAUCGAACCCGGAGAUAGCUGGUUCUCCUCGAAAGCUAUUUAGGUAGCGCCUCAUAUGUAUCCUCUCGGGGGUAGAGCACUGUUAUGGCUAGGGGGUCAUCGCGACUUACCAAACCAUUGCAAACUCCGAAUACCGAGACGGACUGUAUGGGAGACACACGGCGGGUGCUAACGUCCGUCGUGAAAAGGGAAACAACCCAGACCCACAGCUAAGGUCCCAAAUUCACUGCUAAGUGGAAAACCAUGUGGAAAGGCACAGACAGCCAGGAGGUUGGCUUAGAAGCAGCCACCCUUUAAAGAAAGCGUAAUAGCUCACUGGUCGAGUCGGUCUGCGGGGAAGAUUUAACGGGGCUAAGCAGUGAACCGAAGCUUGGGGUGCAUAACUUUGUUAUGCGCGGUAGAGGAGCGUUCCGUAAGCCGUUGAAGGUGGAUUGAGAAGUCUGCUGGAGGUAUCGGAAGUGCGAAUGCUGACAUGAGUAACGAUAAUGCGGGUGAAAAACCCGCACGCCGAAAGCCCAAGGUUUCCUUGCGCAACGUUAAUCGGCGCAGGGUGAGUCGGCCCCUAAGGCGAGGACGAAAGUCGUAGUCGAUGGGAAGCAGGUUAAUAUUCCUGCACCUCGCGUAAGUGCGAUGGAGGGACGGAGAAGGUUAGGUGUACCAGGCGUUGGUUGUCCUGGGGAAAGGCGGUAGGUUUGGAUCUUUGGCAAAUCCGGGAUCCUUUAAGACCGAGCACCGAGACGAGCCUUUAUGGCGAAGUCACUGAUACCACGCUUCCAGGAAAAGCUCCUAAGCUUCAGCUUACGCAGACCGUACCGUAAACCGACACAGGUGGGUAGGAUGAGAAUUCUCAGGCGCUUGAGAGAACUCGGGUGAAGGAACUAGGCAACAUGGCACCGUAACUUCGGGAGAAGGUGCACCCUUUUUGGUGGCUCGUGCGAGCUAUAGCUGAAGAGGGUCGCAGUAACCAGGCCGCUGCGACUGUUUAUCAAAAACACAGCACUCUGCAAACACGAAAGUGGACGUAUAGGGUGUGACGCCUGCCCGGUGCUGGAAGGUUAAUUGAUGGGGUCAGCCGCAAGGCGAAGCUCUUGAUCGAAGCCCCAGUAAACGGCGGCCGUAACUAUAACGGUCCUAAGGUAGCGAAAUUCCUUGUCGGGUAAGUUCCGACCUGCACGAAUGGCGUAACGACAGCGGCGCUGUCUCCACCCGAGACUCAGUGAAAUUGAAAUCGCUGUGAAGAUGCAGCGUUCCCGUGGCAAGACGGAAAGACCCCGUGAACCUUUACUAUAGCUUUACACUGAACGUUGAGUUCGUCUGUGUAGGAUAGGUGGGAGGCUAUGAAACUGUGGCGCUAGCUGCAGUGGAGCCAUCCUUGAAAUACCACCCUGUCGUGCUUGACGUUCUAACCUGGGCCCAUUAUCUGGGUCGGGGACCGUGUAUGGUGGGUAGUUUGACUGGGGCGGUCUCCUCCUAAAGAGUAACGGAGGAGCUCGAAGGUACGCUCAGCGCGGUCGGACAUCGCGCACUGUGUGCAAAGGCAUAAGCGUGCUUGACUGCAAGAUCGACGGAUCAAGCAGGUAGGAAACUAGGACUUAGUGAUCCGGUGGUUCUGUAUGGAAGGGCCAUCGCUCAACGGAUAAAAGGUACUCCGGGGAUAACAGGCUGAUACCGCCCAAGAGUUCAUAUCGACGGCGGUGUUUGGCACCUCGAUGUCGGCUCAUCACAUCCUGGGGCUGUAGUCGGUCCCAAGGGUAUGGCUGUUCGCCAUUUAAAGUGGUACGCGAGCUGGGUUCAGAACGUCGUGAGACAGUUCGGUCCCUAUCUGCCAUGGGCGUUGGAGAUUUGAGAGGGGCUGCUCCUAGUACGAGAGGACCGGAGUGGACGAACCUCUGGUGUUCCGGUUGUCACGCCAGUGGCAUUGCCGGGUAGCUAUGUUCGGAAGCGAUAACCGCUGAAAGCAUCUAAGCGGGAAGCGCGCCUCAAGAUGAGAUCUCCCGGGGCACAAGCCCCCUGAAGGAACCAUGUAGACUACGUGGUUGAUAGGUCAGGUGUGUAAGUACAGCAAUGUAUUGAGCUAACUGAUACUAAUGAUCCGAGAGGCUUGACCAUAUAACCU
Molecule: ribosomal RNA, 2894 nt
Filed under: Stenotrophomonas maltophilia
Lineage: Bacteria; Pseudomonadati; Pseudomonadota; Gammaproteobacteria; Lysobacterales; Lysobacteraceae
Description: 23S ribosomal RNA
Rfam family: Bacterial large subunit ribosomal RNA
Source: RNAcentral